This 323-nucleotide long non-coding RNA is filed under the name Fukomys damarensis (Damara mole-rat). Its description in RNAcentral is "lncRNA (ENSFDAG00000024755.1)". Lineage: Eukaryota; Metazoa; Chordata; Mammalia; Rodentia; Bathyergidae. The record is from RNAcentral.
GAAGUUAGGUGUGUAUGGCUGUACAGCACACAGGAGAAAGCUCAUUCAUGUGCUCUGAUGCUAGAUGCUUCUAUAGCAACUUUCAAAUCCAAAGGGAAGAAUCUUACUGCUCAAGAGGACUGACAGGCUCUAGAUCACAGACACCAUACAUGGGGUUUGUCUUUUUUCCUAACAAAGAAUGCAUUGUUUUGACUGCCACAAUCUCAGAUCAAAAGAAGAAUGAAGCAUUUAUGAAGGACCUGCCAAGCAACAUGACUUUUAAGUCUUUGGUUUCGAAUCAAGAUUAUAAAUACUAAUCAGACACGUUUAAAGCGAAGGUGCAC